CGUUGUUGCUUCUAGACGUUUCCACUUCACAAUAACAGCACUUACAGUUGACCGGAGCAGUUCUUGCAGGGCAGACAUUUGACGAACUGACUUGUUGGAAAGGUGGCAUCCUAUGACUUUGCCACCUUGAAAGUCAUAGAGCUCUUCGGUAAUGCCAUUCUACUGCUAAUGUUUGUCUAUGGAGAUUGCAUUGCUGUUUGCUUGAUUUUAAACACCCAUCAGCUAUGAGUGUGGCUGAAAUAGCCGAAUCCACUAAUUUGAAGGGGUGUUCACAUACUUAUGUAUAUAUAGUGUAUGUUGCUAGCUAGCUAAGUUGCUAACACGUGUUGCUAGUCACCACAAAGUAAUAUAUUAUUUGUUUGCCAUUCCUGGAACUAGAUGGUGUUUUUAGCUUAGCUACCACUGUAAUUGUUAUAUUAUCCUGUCCUACGGUUUUGUUUGUUUUGCAAUUCUGUUUUUCAUUAUAACGUUAUGAUGAGAAAUAGUAGAUUUUCCACACUUUUUUAUAGUGCUAUUGAUUGCAUAAAAUGACUUGCCCUAGUUAAGGUCCAUAAGUUGGACACAGCCCCAGCCAGAGACAUAUAUAUACAUACAUGUCUCUGGCCCUAGCUGGAGCAUGAGUUGUAAUGACAACAAACUGGCCCAACCUUUACAUUAUUUACGUUAAAACAUUUAGAAUAUCAGAUCUUGCCAUUAAUUGACAUGUAAUGACUGACCUUUUUAUUCCAGCCAACAUCACCAAUCACUCUCUGUUUAUACAGUACUUGCCUGGGAGGGAAUGGAAGAAAGUAAGGGGUGGUGGAACAGACAUGAGGAUAGGACAAUCAACCAUACUGUCACGGAUUUUAUCCUCGUUCAAUUUCUCACAUCUUUUAUCUUUGUAUCCUUUUCACACUCUUUUCAAUGUUCCUCCACUCAUGCCUCCUACAAUGAUACAAGGAGAGACUAAAUUAGGACUCAUUUAAAUGUUUUGUUUUGUUAUUCUGUUACACAUCUUCCAGGAGAUCCACGAAGCCAUGUGGAGGAUUCCAAACAGGCCAAGGACCGGGUAGAGAAGAGUGUCCAAACAGAAGACAUUCAACUUUAGAACCCAACGGGUCCAGCAGACUGUCAAGCGGCGUGAAGAUAAACAGAUCAUAUACAAAGACUCAGACUUCGAGGAGGACAAGCCCGGACUAGAACCCGAUCGAACAUCUAUGGAGAGACCUGGCAAUAGCUGUGCGUGCGGUGACGCUCCCCAUCCAACCUGACAGAGCUUGAGAAGGUCUGCAGAGAAGAAUGGGAGAAACUCCCCAAUUACAGGGUGUAAGGACAACCACUUGGUUGACCUUUGACCCCAGUGUAUGGACGGUGCCCGGGCGGAGUGGGUACUGGAUCUUGUGUUCAUAACCGGCAAAAAGAACACCUGCCUAGAUGACAAGAGUGCUCUCACCCCAGGAGGACUCGGGCUAGGAGCCCCUGCCUUGACAUCGAGGCAGUUCAAGGAAUCGGACUUUGAGAAGGUGGUGGAGUUUAUGAUAAGGGGAUCCACAUUGACCAGGAUGUGAAGAAGAAGACCAGUAAGAAGGGAUACAUGCACAUAGCUGACACAGGCCAUGUGGACUGGCCAGACAUAGCUUAUUAUCCCAUUGCAAACUUGUACCAAACUAUAACACUUCAGUUCACUUUAUUAUGGGUUCAGCUUAGAGCAAGUCCAGAAUGGGAGAUAAAGGGAAAAGCUUGUGAAACCAAAACAGUUUUGAGGACUAUUAAAACAUUUAGAGAGAAUGACAGUAAUAUAUAGUAUAAAGACUUGACCACUCUGUAAGCUAACCAUGGUAUAUCCCUAUCCUCCGCAGGUAGCUUCCAGGACUUUAAGUCCUUCUUGCUGCAGGAUCCAGGGACAGUGGCCCGUAUCACUGACCUGUGCCAGAGGGUGGAGGAGUUCACACGGCUGUUCCCCAUGCCUGGCUUCACUGAGAGAGACACAGGGAGACUGGACUUUAGGCCCAGGUUAUGAUCCCGUCCUUCAGCCAGAUAGUGCAGUAGUUGUGUAGAUGAACAAAAGUACAAUCAUCUAAUCUGUUAGUCUUUCCAGGAGAAGAACCUUUGUUCUAAUUCUGCCAGACAUUGAUAGCUACUUAAUGGUUCAUAAGGAGAUUUUUGUAUUCCAAUUUUGCUCAAUAUUUAAUCGUAUCAAGUUACUGUGAUACUACGUUAUAAAUAGUGCAAUUCUUGUUAUACUCCUAUUCACCUGAUGUGUAGAGAAUUGACAUAGAGAUGUUUUCUCCUUCACAUUUCUCUCUGUGCGAAUUGAGCAUGUGUAUAUGUCUUGUUUAGAAGAGAGGGGGCUCUGAGAUUUCCUAAACAGAGCAGCAUUUCCUCUGAGCGUUUCCUCUCGCUGUAGACUAGUAGUGUAGUAACGGACUAGGGGUUGCUAGAAUUAGAGCAAACAGAGGAUCUCUUAGAGUCCCUGUUAGAGAUCCCCACACACAUGAACACAAAGUGAAUAUUAGUUUGUUAACCUAAACGUGUCAACCACUUUGUUUGUGGAAUCUUCUGGUGGUUGUGAGAGUAUGACAAAUUGAACUUAAAUUGAACAAAUUGAAAAUGUUGUCUGUUUUUCAGUACUAUCUCUUUCUCACUUUCCCAGAUUCCUCCAUUAUUCAUCAGGGAAAUAGAGCCUUUUCAGCUCCCUAUUACUUCUUACUGCAAUGCUUUAUCCCAGUGCAGUUAAAUGUCCCACAGGGCAGAAUAUAAGCCUGAGUGGAAGGGUUUGCAAAUUCUCAGUCAUGCCUGUUAUGUGUCAAUCAUGUUGGAUGGUCAUUUAACAUACGUGAUAUGUAUAAGUGUGUUUGCCUGUUUGUGUUUGCAUGUUUUGGUGCACAACUGCCCAUACAGAACAUCCAUACAGUGUGUGUGUGUGUGUGUGUUUGUGUGUUUGUGUGUGUGUGUGUGUGUGUGUGUGUGUGUGUGUGUGUGUGUGUGUGUGUGUGUGUGUGUGUGUGUCUUCUCUCUAUGCUUGUGCCAGAGGAUUGUGCUUCCACAGUAACAGGCCACAGUCCAGCUGUCAUAAAGGUCAGAGAAACGUUCAACUCUGCUGACAGAAAAACAAACAUCUGCUCAUCCUGCACUCAGCUCCAUCUCUUCGCCAGUUUCUCACGACCUGACAACUCUGACGCACUCUCCUCUGUUUGGUUGUGUGUGUUUGUUUACUUUGUGGC
Molecule: non-coding RNA, 3203 nt
Organism: Oncorhynchus mykiss (rainbow trout)
Lineage: Eukaryota; Metazoa; Chordata; Actinopteri; Salmoniformes; Salmonidae
Source: RefSeq, a predicted model, not a curated record